GCACCUUUAGCUCAGUUGGUAGAGCAACUGACUCUUAAUCAGUGGGUCCAGAGUUCGAGUCUCUGAAGGUGUACCA
RNAcentral lists this transfer RNA (76 nucleotides) under Oscillospiraceae bacterium. RNAcentral describes it as "tRNA-Lys". It matches the Rfam family "tRNA". Rfam says of the family: Transfer RNA (tRNA) molecules are approximately 80 nucleotides in length. Lineage: Bacteria; Bacillati; Bacillota; Clostridia; Eubacteriales; Oscillospiraceae. The record is from RNAcentral.